This 468-nucleotide ribosomal RNA is filed under the name uncultured bacterium. Its description in RNAcentral is "partial 16S ribosomal RNA". It matches the Rfam family "Bacterial small subunit ribosomal RNA", at positions 28 to 507 of the family's 1533-position model. The record is from RNAcentral.
GACGAACGCUGGCGGCGUGCUUAACACAUGCAAGUCGAACGGACAGGCCCGGCGUUUGUGGGGUGCUCGAGUGGCGAACGGGUGAGUAACACGUGAGUAAACUGCCCUUGACUUUGGGAUAACUUCAGGAGACUGGGGCUAAUACAGGGUAGGAGAUCCUGCUGCAUGGGGGGGGUUGGAAAGAUUCGGCGGUUGGGGAUGGACUCGCGGCUUAUCCGCUUGUUGGUGGGGUAGUGGCUUACCAAGGCUUUGAAGGGUAGCCGGCCUGAGAGGGUGACCGGCGACAUUGGGACUGAGAGACGGCCCAGACUCCUACGGGAGGCAGCAGUGGGGAAUAUUGCACAAUGGGCGGAAGCCUGAUGCAGCAGCGCCGCGUUCGUGAUGACGGCUUUCGGGUGGUAAACCGCUUUCGCCUGUGACGAGGCCUGAGUGACGGUAAUUGGUAAAGAAGCACCGGCUAACUACGUG